UCAGGAUGAACGCUAGCUACAGGCUUAACACAUGUCAAGUCGAGGGGCAGCAUUAUCGAAGCUUGCUUUGAUAGAUGGCGACCGGCGCACGGGUGAGUAACGCGUAUCCGAACCUUCCCAUCACUCAGGGAUAGCCCGCCGAAAGGCGAAUUAAUACCUAAUGGUCUCCUUUGCGGACAUCUAACGAGGAGUAAAGAUUUAUUGGUGAUGGAUGGGGAUGCGUCUGAUUAGGUAGUAGGCGGGGUAACGGCCCACCUAGCCGACGAUCAGUAGGGGUUCUGAGAGGAAGGUCCCCCACAUUGGAACUGAGACACGGUCCAAACUCCUACGGGAGGCAGCAGUGAGGAAUAUUGGUCAAUGGACGGAAGUCUGAACCAGCCAAGUAGCGUGCAAGGAUGACGGCCCUAUGGGUUGUAAACUGCUUUUGUGCGGGAAUAAAGUAUGGGACGUGUCCCAUUUUGCAUGUACCGCACGAAUAAGGACCGGCUAAUUCCGUGCCAGCCGCUGC
Molecule: ribosomal RNA, 508 nt
Filed under: uncultured bacterium
Lineage: Bacteria
Description: bacterial SSU rRNA
Rfam family: Bacterial small subunit ribosomal RNA
Source: RNAcentral